AUAGCCAAAUUUCAAUUCUUGAUGCGGACUGCAGAUGAUUUCAAAGCAGUUGUUCAGGGAAAGGGUGAUUUGUAAAAGUGUUUUUGUUGCGUUCUACGUUGGCAAUCUCAGAUUCUUUUCAGGAAUCUCAGUUGAUUGAAAGGCAUGCACAGUUAAGGGAAAGAUUAGAUUUUGUCAACUGGUUGGUUGUUUUUUCUCGUUGAUUCUACUCAUAGUAGACUGUACCACGUAAAUUAAUUUUAUGGUUUGUGCUUCAUGAUCCUACAGGACUAAAGCAGUGUUGAAUUUUAAUGAUUUGUGCUUCAUAUAUGGGGUACACUGUAUACCCCGCAGAUAGAAGAUACAGCAGAUCGAAUCAUGAUUUACACUUUUAUGAUAAAAUCCAAUUAAGCAGCGAACAUGGGUGUGUAUUUUCCGUUUUCUGUUCUUCAUGAGCCUUGAUGCGGAUUGGGUUUCUUUUUGAUCGAAUCUUACUAAUAUUCAUCUUAAUAUGCUGCUUUUGCUGUUCCUUCAAUGUUUUUUAUUUUUUUUUCUAGCUUUGACACCAUGCUUGUGGCUUUUCUCCUCUAGUUGCCCAGACUGUCACCAAGAAAAGGAAGCUGCCCUUAUAUGCAGACAGAGAUGCCACCCAAGCUGGAGGAAUUUUGGUUCAGCAGUUUAGGGGGAUUGGGACGGAACCAGUCUGUAGGACCCCCAGUUCCAGUUUCAUUUUUAUCAAAUCUAACUGUCAUUUUUUUUUUCUCUCUUUUUCAAAGGGCAAAAAAUUCGUUUUUGAUCCAGAAACAAACCAAACGGUUCUAGUCCAGUUCAAAUCAGACCGAUUGAGUUUGAUUCUGGGACCGUGGCCUGGUGUAGUUAUAGGUGAUACAAUAGGAAGCUUUGUCUCAUUAAAUAAUGAACGUCCAAGGACAGAGUGGACUGCAGCCAUGGACCAGUACUGCACUGAGCUUAUGCGGGACCAAAUAGUAAGAGGCAAUAAAGCUGAUAACACAUAUACCCAACAAGCUUGGUCUGAUGUGCUUGCCUCCUUCAAUGCAAAUUCGUUCCUCAACAUGGCAAGAGGGUUUUAAGACAUGGAUACAAGAACUUGUAGAAGUACUGUAGUGAAAGAAGGUUCUACUUGAGCAAAAUGGUUUUACCUGGGAUGAAACUGAACAUAUGAUUAUAGCUGAAAAUGAUGUUUAGGAUACUUAUAUUAAGGUGCAAGGUCUGCAAAAAUUGCAAUUCUUUGUCCCUUUCUGUUCUUCCUGGCACACCUUGAUUUGACUUCUAUGUAUACAUUUGUCUAAUUUGCAGGUGAUUCAAGCAUGGAUCCUUUGACAAUGGACUGGCAGCCAGCAAUAUAUUUUAUUGAACUUGUGUUAGAGCAGGUGAAUAGAGGGAAUAAGAUUGGUAACACAUUCAAUGAGCAAGCAUGGAUUCACAUCAAGCUUGUACGUGCAUACCACAAUUAAAUGAUCAUGUGUUGUGCCUUCUUGAUUAGAAUUUAAACAUUUUCUUUUAAUGAAUCAAGUUGUGGGUUUGAACUUUGAAUUUCG
Molecule: unclassified non-coding RNA, 1538 nt
Filed under: Hevea brasiliensis (rubber tree)
Lineage: Eukaryota; Viridiplantae; Streptophyta; Magnoliopsida; Malpighiales; Euphorbiaceae
Source: RNAcentral